Arachis ipaensis is the source of this 312-nucleotide non-coding RNA. NCBI's taxonomy places the organism in Eukaryota, Viridiplantae, Streptophyta, Magnoliopsida, Fabales, Fabaceae. The record is from RefSeq and is a predicted model, not a curated record.
UCAACAAUAUAAGUUAAUUUUAGACCUUUCUUUUUGUUAUUCCAAUAUGCAUUUUUUUUUUAUUUCUGGUUGUAGAUAGAUUCUAAUAUUUUGGAAAAUGUUAUGUAAUUGACAACUGAAGACGGUAAAGCAGUUACAAAUUACAUCCGAGAAAUUUUAUUGGAGCACACAAAGCAAUUGGAGUAUAAUUCAGUGGCUAAAAUUAUGUGUUCUUUUUGCUAUUUACCUUGAAAAUAUUUUUACAUGUGAAUUGUCUGUGUAACAAGAAAUGUAGAGAUUGAUAAAUUCAUUUUAUCUUAGUACUUUCUGACU